UUAGGGGUUUCUGGUUUUUCAAGAAAUGAAUUUAAUUCAUACGUCUUAUUUAGAGUUUUAUUAUUUGUUUAUUUAUUUUUAUUUGGCGUUAAGAUUGGGAGGGAUUAGCUUCUUAUUUUAUUUUUAUAAUUUUUUGUUUAUUUAAUCUUGUGGGUUUUAUAGUGAUUUUCAAUUUGAUUAUGUUAAAAUUUUAUUUGUUUUGUUCUUUAUUUUUGUUUAUUUAAUUGUUUAUUGAAAUGUGUUCUUUAUCUUGUUUUGGUUAGUAAUUAUUGUAGAAUUAGUAAAUUUGUUGUUAGGUUGUUUUAUUUGUGUUAAUUUUUUUUGAGGAACUAGGCAAAUUUCAUGUCCGCCUGUUUAACAAAAACAUCUUUUCUCGUUAGUUUUUGAAGUAUGGCCUGCCCGCUGACUUUGGUGUUGAAGGGCCGCGGUAUUUUGACCGUGCAAAGGUAGCAUAGUCAUUAGUUCUUUAAUUGUGAUCUGGUAUGAAUGGCUUGACGAGGCAUGGGCUGUCUUAAUUUUGAAUUGUUUAUUGAAUUUGGUCUUUGAGUUAAAAUUCUUAGAUGUUUUUAUGGGACGAGAAGACCCUAUAGAGUUUAACAUUUAUUAUGGUCCUUUCUCUGUUUGUGAGGGUUCACUGGGCUGUCUAAUAUGUUUUGUUGGGGUGAUGGGAGGGAUUAAUUUAA
This 683-nucleotide ribosomal RNA is filed under the name Reticulitermes balkanensis. RNAcentral describes it as "partial 16S ribosomal RNA". The stretch from base 342 to 504 matches the Rfam family "Archaeal large subunit ribosomal RNA", at positions 1883 to 2090 of the family's 2987-position model. The record is from RNAcentral. Lineage: Eukaryota; Metazoa; Arthropoda; Insecta; Blattodea; Rhinotermitidae.